GACGAACGCUGGCGGCGUGCCUAAUACAUGCAAGUCGAGCGAACAGAUGCGGCGCUUGCUCCUCUGUCGAUAGCGGCGGACGGGUGAGUAACACGUGGAUAAUCUACCUAUAAGACUGGGAUAACUUCGGGAAACCGGAGCUAAUACCGGAUAAUCUCUUGAACCGUAUGGUUCAAUAGUGAAAGACGGUUUUGCUGUCACUAAUAGCUGGAUCCGGGCCGCAUUAGCUGGUUGGUAAGGUAACGGCCUACCAAGGGAACGAUGCGUAGCCGACUUACGAGGGGGAUCGCCCACAUGGGAACGUGAACAGGGUCCAGAGUCCUAAGGGAGGCAGCAGAAGGGAAUCUGCGGCAAUGGGGGAAAGCCUGACGGAGCAAGGCCGCGUGAGUGAUAAAGGUCUUGGGAGCGUAAAACUCGGUUAUGAGGGAAAAACAGAUUUGGAAGGAACUGUGCACGUCGUGACGGUACCGAAUCAGAAAGCCACGGCUAACUACGUG
This 497-nucleotide ribosomal RNA is filed under the name uncultured bacterium. RNAcentral describes it as "partial 16S ribosomal RNA". It matches the Rfam family "Bacterial small subunit ribosomal RNA", at positions 28 to 507 of the family's 1533-position model. The record is from RNAcentral.